GGGGUUCUUUUUUGGUAGCUGAGGUAGGAAUGAAUGCUGUCCUGGAGGAAGGUAAUGCCAAGAACUCUUUUGCUUGAUCCUUAAGGCUAUGAGCUGUUGCUUUAGAUGACCUUGGGAAUUUGUUCACAUGGGUCAGAUUUGCCCCUUCUGAGGACUGCUGUCAGCCAGCAUGAAUGACAAUCUAGGACCUCUGCCUGAGAAAUACAUGGAGGUUCAGCGUUUUGCAGAAACUUCAGUUGAAUCCUCAACAGAAUGCAACCAACCCCAACUACAGUGCAAGCAGAAGAAAGGGG
Molecule: long non-coding RNA, 293 nt
Filed under: Numida meleagris (helmeted guineafowl)
Lineage: Eukaryota; Metazoa; Chordata; Aves; Galliformes; Numididae
Description: lncRNA (ENSNMEG00000018737.1)
Source: RNAcentral